RNAcentral lists this ribosomal RNA (253 nucleotides) under uncultured bacterium. RNAcentral's name for it is "partial 16S ribosomal RNA". It matches the Rfam family "Bacterial small subunit ribosomal RNA", at positions 524 to 776 of the family's 1533-position model. The record is from RNAcentral.
UACGUAGGGGGCUAGCGUUGUCCGGAAUCAUUGGGCGUAAAGCGCGUGUAGGCGGUCCGGUAAGUCCGCUGUGAAAGCCGGGGGCUCAACCCUCGAAAGCCGGUGGAUACUGUCGGGCUAGAGUACGGAAGAGGCGAGUGGAAUUCCUGGUGUAGCGGUGAAAUGCGCAGAUAUCAGGAGGAACACCAAUUGCGAAGGCAGCUCGCUGGGACGUUACUGACGCUGAGGUGCGAAAGCGCGGGGAGCAAACAGG